UUGUGUUAAGGAUAGUAGUGGCAUCCUUUUUUUGAAGUAUGAGAAAAAAGAUAUAACGGAUAGCCUGACUUUUG
This 74-nucleotide small RNA is filed under the name Neotamlana nanhaiensis. RNAcentral's name for it is "Tamlana nanhaiensis Flavo-1 RNA". It matches the Rfam family "Flavo-1 RNA". Lineage: Bacteria; Pseudomonadati; Bacteroidota; Flavobacteriia; Flavobacteriales; Flavobacteriaceae. The record is from Rfam by way of RNAcentral.